UACGAAGGGGGCUAGCGUUGUUCGGAAUUACUGGGCGUAAAGCGCACGUAGGCGGAUGUGCCAGUCAGGGGUGAAAUCCCGAGGCUCAACCUCGGAACUGCCUCCGAUACAGCACGUCUCGAGUCCGGAAGAGGUGAGUGGAAUUCCUAGUGUGGAGGUGAAAUUCGUAGAUAUUAGGAAGAACACCAGUGGCGAGGCGGCUCACUGGUCCGGUACUGACGCUGAGGUGCGAAAGCGUGGGGAGCAAACAGG
RNAcentral lists this ribosomal RNA (252 nucleotides) under uncultured bacterium. Its description in RNAcentral is "partial 16S ribosomal RNA". It matches the Rfam family "Bacterial small subunit ribosomal RNA", at positions 524 to 776 of the family's 1533-position model. The record is from RNAcentral.